This 468-nucleotide ribosomal RNA is filed under the name uncultured bacterium. RNAcentral's name for it is "partial 16S ribosomal RNA". It matches the Rfam family "Bacterial small subunit ribosomal RNA", at positions 28 to 507 of the family's 1533-position model. The record is from RNAcentral.
GACGAACGCUGGCGGCGUGCUUAACACAUGCAAGUCGAACGGAAAGGGCCUGGUUUGGUUGGGUGCUCGAGUUGCGAACGGGUGAGUAACGCGUGAGUAACCUGCCCUGGACUGUGGGAUAACUUCAGGAAACGGGGGCUAAUACCGGAUAGGAGCUCCUGCUGCAUGGUGGGGGUUGGAAAGUUUCGGUGGUUGGGGUUGGAGUCGCGGCUUAGUAGUUUUUUGGUGGGGGGGUGGCUUACCAAGGCUUUGACGGGUAGCCGGCCUGGGAGGGUGACCGGGCACAUUGGGAUAGAGAUAGGGGCCAGAGUGCUACGGGGGGAAGCAGUGGAGGAUAGUGCGCAAUGGGCGGAAGCCUGAUGGAGGAACGGCGCGUGCGGGAUGUCGGCCGUCGGGUUAGAACGCGCUUUAGACUGUGACGAAGAGUGAGUGACGGUAACGGGUAAAAAAGCACCGGCUAACUACGUG